Vidua chalybeata is the source of this 281-nucleotide long non-coding RNA. RefSeq lists it as uncharacterized. Lineage: Eukaryota; Metazoa; Chordata; Aves; Passeriformes; Viduidae. The record is from RefSeq and is a predicted model, not a curated record. The transcript has 3 exons.
GUUUCUGCGGCUCCUCGGCGCAACGUGCUCAGCAGCAACUGCGCGCAACGAGCUUGAGAGGCUCCACGUACCUGCUGAUGAGUGUGGUUGGCGACUGGACCAGCACUUAGGGAAUGCUGCAAACUCAACCAGAAGCUACUUGCACAGAUUUCUAGGAGGAGAAAGAUGUGCCAAAUGGAUGGGAGGACUUUUGCUGGCAGCCUGCAAGUUUCACACCCAAAUCUGUGAUGUGCAAAUGCCAACAUUCUUGAGCAAUCACCUGAGCAUCGGCGAAACACAGA